UGGUGGAUUGAUUUGUCUGGUUAAUUCCGAAAACGAACGAGACCUUAACCUGUUAACUAUGUGAUAUUAAAAUUCGAUUUCGGUCUAAAUAUUUGAUACUUUAAACGUAAUACUUCUUAAAGGAACAAUUCAAACUCUAAUUGAAAGGAAGUUUGAGGCAAAAACA
This 166-nucleotide ribosomal RNA is filed under the name uncultured eukaryote. RNAcentral's name for it is "partial 18S ribosomal RNA". It matches the Rfam family "Eukaryotic small subunit ribosomal RNA", at positions 1299 to 1458 of the family's 1831-position model. The record is from RNAcentral.